GCCUCCUUAGCGAAUAGUCGUCCGGUUAACGGCGUGCUUGUCAGUAAGACGACAAGAUAGCUUGGGAGGUUUUC
RNAcentral lists this non-coding RNA (74 nucleotides) under unclassified sequences. RNAcentral's name for it is "DUF3800-IX RNA". It matches the Rfam family "DUF3800-IX RNA". Rfam says of the family: Actinobacteria, Firmicutes (1 example), Nitrospirae, Proteobacteria, Verrucomicrobia (1 example). The record is from Rfam by way of RNAcentral.